Molecule: long non-coding RNA, 300 nt
Filed under: Dromaius novaehollandiae (emu)
Lineage: Eukaryota; Metazoa; Chordata; Aves; Casuariiformes; Dromaiidae
Description: lncRNA (ENSDNVG00000015557.1)
Source: RNAcentral
AGUCUGCAGAUGAAACCAAAGUUAGACAAAUAGAGACUCUUCAUGAAAGAAAGGCUACCUGCUCCACUGCUGAACGUAGAAGCUGAUUUGCCCUAUCCAGCACUCAGCCAUGCAAAGCAGUGCUCCCAACGAGGGCAUCAAAGGAGACAGCCUAGCAAAGCUGCAGGUGGAGGAGGACUCACUGCCACUGUUUUCCACAUGUUCCUCCCUAUGGGGGCCUGACUGGACCUCAGCCUGAGGAUGGAACUGAAUGGAAACUUAAUGGAGAGGUUCCCUUGAGGGCAGUUCUGGGGUGACUCC